RNAcentral lists this ribosomal RNA (256 nucleotides) under uncultured bacterium. RNAcentral's name for it is "partial 16S ribosomal RNA". It matches the Rfam family "Bacterial small subunit ribosomal RNA", at positions 524 to 776 of the family's 1533-position model. The record is from RNAcentral.
GACGUAGGUGGCGAACGUUAUCCGGAAUUAUUGGGCGUAAAGGGUGCGUAGGCGGCAUGAUAAGUUAUUGGCGGCAAAUCGAGGCUCAACCUCGUGGAAACUGAUAAUACUGUCUUGCUUGAGUGCAGAAGAGGUUAACGGAACUCCAUGUGGAGCGGUAAAAUGUGUAGAUAUAUGGAAGAACAUCAAUAACGGCGAAGGCAGUUAACUAUUCUGUUACUGACGUUGAGGCACGAAAGCGUGGGGAGCAAACAGG